GUGGUGGCUCAGGGGUAGAGCGCUGGCCUAGCACAUGUGAGGCCCUGGGUUCGAUCCUCAGCACCACA
This 68-nucleotide transfer RNA is filed under the name Marmota monax (woodchuck). RNAcentral describes it as "tRNA.Ala". Lineage: Eukaryota; Metazoa; Chordata; Mammalia; Rodentia; Sciuridae. The record is from RNAcentral.